GCGCCCGUAGCUCAGCGGAUUAGAGCAGGUGCCUUCGAAGCACAAGGUCGGGGGUUCGAAUCCCUCCGGGCGCACCA
Molecule: transfer RNA, 77 nt
Filed under: Candidatus Jorgensenbacteria bacterium GWC1_48_12
Lineage: Bacteria; Candidatus Joergenseniibacteriota
Description: tRNA-Arg
Rfam family: tRNA
About the family: Transfer RNA (tRNA) molecules are approximately 80 nucleotides in length. Their secondary structure includes four short double-helical elements and three loops (D, anti-codon, and T loops).
Source: RNAcentral